AAUAGAUGACGCCGUUGACUUUUUAUCACACGUUUGACCAUUCGUCUUAUUCAAAAAAUUUACGUAAUUAUAAUUUAUUUUGUUAUGAGUUGUUUUAUCACUCAAAGUACUUUAAGCAUAAUUUAUAUCUAUACGUUUACAUAAAUUUUUUUUGAAUAAGACGAAUGGUCAAACAUAUGUUCAAAAGUCAAUAGCGCCAUCUAUU
This 205-nucleotide microRNA precursor is filed under the name Oryza glumipatula. RNAcentral describes it as "MIR812 microRNA precursor family". It matches the Rfam family "MIR812 microRNA precursor family". The record is from Rfam by way of RNAcentral. Lineage: Eukaryota; Viridiplantae; Streptophyta; Magnoliopsida; Poales; Poaceae.